AGUUUAUGCGCCUAUUCAUUUUUAUAUUUACUAAUUCAUUCUCAUUUGAUUAGAAAAUAAAAGUAUCAUAGAAAAACGUGCCUAUAUAUAUAUUUUGGAUUACCUGAGUAAAAAUUAUUAUAUCACAUACACGACAAGAAAUGAAAUUAACUGUGAUGGUUGGGGAAGCGAAAAUAGAAGUUGCUAUUCGUGUUAUAAAAAAAAACUGUUAGAGAAUCUUGAUACUAUCAAUUUUGAUUAUGUAAAAGAAAAAAUGGGUGAAAAAUCAUUUCCAGAUACAUGCAAAGAAGAAAUAGACAGAAAAUUCAAAGAAUUAGGGAUAUUGAAGUUUUUAGUCUUAAAAAUGUUUCAAAAUAGCCAUGAAGACGUGAAGGAUAAUAUAAAAUACAAAUAUCCUUUAAAAAUUGUUAUUACUGGAAAGAUAAAAAAGGGUAUAUAAUAAAUGACAGUAAAUAGCACAUAUUAGUAUUGUGCAGUAGUAAUAUACAGUAGUAGUAAUAUACAAUAGUAGUAAUAUACAAUAGUAGUAUUAUUAAUAUAUCGCAAUAUCAAUGAAAUGUGUUCAACAUGUAUGUGAUAAAUAUAUUUAGUGGUAUGUGGUAGACGUAAACUUAUAAAGAGGGAGAAAAAAAAAAAAAAAAAAAUUUUGAAGUUGACAACUAUAAGUACUUUAUUUUAUUUUUUUUUGCAGAAACUGAACUUAUAGCUAAGUAUUUAAAAAAAAGAUUUUGUUUAAAGUUAUAUAAUUUUAAUAAUAUACAAAAGGAGCUCCAAGUUAUUUUCAUUAAACAUAACAUCAAAAACGGUAGGACGGAACAAGAAUUAAAAAUAGAAAUAAAAAAAUAAUAGCAUAAAUAUAGAAAUUAAA
RNAcentral lists this long non-coding RNA (868 nucleotides) under Piliocolobus tephrosceles (Ugandan red Colobus). RNAcentral's name for it is "lncRNA (ENSPTEG00000013154.1)". The record is from RNAcentral. Lineage: Eukaryota; Metazoa; Chordata; Mammalia; Primates; Cercopithecidae.